Molecule: ribosomal RNA, 615 nt
Filed under: Serendipita sp. RC_14056
Lineage: Eukaryota; Fungi; Basidiomycota; Agaricomycetes; Sebacinales; Serendipitaceae
Description: eukaryotic LSU rRNA
Source: RNAcentral
GAAGUAAAAGUCGUAACAAGGUUUCCGUAGGUGAACCUGCGGAAGGAUCAUUAACGAGUUCAAAAGUCGGUCGACCGUGCUGGCGGAGACGCAUGUGCACGUCGGUCGCGAACCAUCCACACACCGUGAACCUAUGGCCUGGGGUUUGAGUUCAGACCCUGGGCACCAUUUUUACACUCURUUUGUAAAGGAAUGUCUUAUAUCAUAUAAACAUACAACUUUCAACAACGGAUCUCUUGGCUCUCGCAUCGAUGAAGAACGCAGCGAAAUGCGAUAAGUAAUGUGAAUUGCAGAAUUCAGUGAAUCAUCGAAUCUUUGAACGCACCUUGCACCCUUUGGUAUUCCGAAGGGUACGCCCGUUUGAGUGUCAUUGUAAUCUCACCCCGAAAUCUUUUUUUCGGAGUGGACUUGGACGCUGCCGUGUUGCAUGGCUCGUCUUGAACGUCUCAGUGURCCCCGCCCGUCGGUGUAGACAGCGUGAUAAGUAUCUUCGCUGGUCAAGCCUCUCCGGAGGCGCGCCCUCGAGCAUGGAAGUGUGCUGCCAACCGUCUUUUGACAACUUUUGACAAUUUGACCUCAGAUCGGGUGGGACUACCCGCUGAACUUAAGCAUAUC